GCUAGUUGUACGAGUUGAGACUCGUAGCAGAUAGCUCAGUAACACGUGGCCAAACUACCCUAUAGAUCCAGACAACCUCGGGAAACUGAGGCUAAUCCGGAAUAGGGCUCUCAUCCUGGAGUGGAGAGAGCCUGAAACGCUCCGGCGCUAUAGGAUGUGGCUGCGGCCGAUUAGGUAGACGGUGGGGUAACGGCCCACCGUGCCAGUAAUCGGUACGGGUUGUGAGAGCAAGAGCCCGGAGACGGUAUCUGAGACAAGAUACCGGGCCCUACGGGGCGCAGCAGGCGCGAAACCUUUACACUGCACGCCAGUGCGAUAAGGGGACUCCAAGUGCGAGGGCAUAUAGUCCUCGCUUUUUGCGACCGUAAGGUGGUCGAGGAAUAAGUGCUGGGCAAGACCGGUGCCAGCCGCCGCGGUAAUACCGGCAGCACGAGUGAUGACCGCUGUUAUUGGGCCUAAAGCGUCCGUAGCUGGCCGCACAAGUCUAUCGGGAAAUCUCUCCGCUUAACGGAGAGGCGUCCGGUGGAAACUGUGUGGCUUGGGACCCGGAAGACCAGAGGGGUACGUCUGGGGUAGGAGUGAAAUCCCGUAAUCCUGGACGGACCACCGGUGGCGAAAGCGCCUCUGGAAGACGGAUCCGACGGUGAGGGACGAAAGCUCGGGUCACGAACCGGAUUAGAUACCCGGGUAGUCCGAGCUGUAAACGAUGUCUGCUAGGUGUGACACAGGCUACGAGCCUGUGUUGUGCCGUAGGGAAGCCGUGAAGCAGACCGCCUGGGAAGUACGUCCGCAAGGAUGAAACUUAAAGGAAUUGGCGGGGGAGCACUACAACCGGAGGAGCCUGCGGUUUAAUUGGACUCAACGCCGGACAUCUCACCAGCAUCGACAAUGUGCAGUGACGGUCAGUAUGAUGAGCUUACCUGAGCCAUUGAGAGGAGGUGCAUGGCCGCCGUCAGCUCGUACCGUGAGGCGUCCUGUUAAGUCAGGCAACGAGCGAGACCCGCACCCUUAAUUGCCAGCAGCACCCUUGUGGUGGCUGGGUACAUUAAGAGGACUGCCAGUGCCAAACUGGAGGAAGGAACGGGCAACGGUAGGUCAGUAUGCCCCGAAUGUGCUGGGCGACACGCGGGCUACAAUGGCCAAGACAGUGGGAUGCAACGCCGAAAGGCGACGCUAAUCUCCGAAACUUGGUCGUAGUUCGGAUUGAGGGCUGAAACUCGCCCUCAUGAAGCUGGAUUCGGUAGUAAUCGCGCCUCAGAAGGGCGCGGUGAAUACGUCCCUGCUCCUUGCACACACCGCCCGUCAAAGCACCCGAGUGGGGUCCGGAUGAGGCCCGGUUUCCGGGUCGAAUCUGGGCUCCGCAAGGGGGCUAAGUCGUAACCAA
This 1384-nucleotide ribosomal RNA is filed under the name Natrialba chahannaoensis. RNAcentral's name for it is "bacterial SSU rRNA". It matches the Rfam family "Archaeal small subunit ribosomal RNA". Lineage: Archaea; Methanobacteriati; Methanobacteriota; Halobacteria; Halobacteriales; Natrialbaceae. The record is from RNAcentral.